AGAACGAACGCUGGCGGCAGGCUUAACACAUGCAAGUCGAGCGCCCCGCAAGGGGAGCGGCAGACGGGUGAGUAACGCGUGGGAACAUACCCUCCGGUUCGGAAUAACUCAGGGAAACUUGAGCUAAUACCGGAUACGGUCGAGAGGCGAAAGAUUUAUCGCCGGAGGAUUGGCCCGCGUCCGAUUAGCUAGUUGGUGUGGUAAUGGCGCACCAAGGCGACGAUCGGUAGCUGGUCUGAGAGGAUGAUCAGCCACAUUGGGACUGAGACACGGCCCAAACUCCUACGGGAGGCAGCAGUGGGGAAUAUUGGACAAUGGGCGAAAGCCUGAUCCAGCCAUGCCGCGUGAGUGAUGAAGGCCUUAGGGUUGUAAAGCUCUUUCGCCCACGACGAUAAUGACGGUAGUGGAGAAGAGCCCGGCUAACUUCGUGCCAGCAGCCGC
This 441-nucleotide ribosomal RNA is filed under the name uncultured bacterium. RNAcentral describes it as "SSU rRNA". It matches the Rfam family "Bacterial small subunit ribosomal RNA", at positions 26 to 518 of the family's 1533-position model. The record is from RNAcentral.